GAUGGUACGAAGUUGGUCCGCCGCAAGGCGAGUACUGAGUUCGGCUGUCUUUCCUCCUGAAGUUCUGGUGCAUCUUCGGGUGCAUCAGGAAUUCGGGGCAGUUACCUUGAAAAAAUUAGAGUGCUCAAAGCAGGCCUGUGCUUGAAUAUAUUAGCAUGGAAUAACGGAAUAGGACUUUGGUCUUAUUUUGUUGGUUUCUAGGACCGAAGUA
RNAcentral lists this ribosomal RNA (211 nucleotides) under uncultured fungus. RNAcentral's name for it is "partial small subunit ribosomal RNA". The stretch from base 84 to 211 matches the Rfam family "Eukaryotic small subunit ribosomal RNA", at positions 734 to 864 of the family's 1831-position model. The record is from RNAcentral. Lineage: Eukaryota; Fungi.